RNAcentral lists this ribosomal RNA (254 nucleotides) under uncultured bacterium. Its description in RNAcentral is "partial 16S ribosomal RNA". It matches the Rfam family "Bacterial small subunit ribosomal RNA", at positions 524 to 776 of the family's 1533-position model. The record is from RNAcentral.
UACGUAGGGACCAAGCGUUGUUCGGAUUUACUGGGCGUAAAGGGCGCGUAGGCGGCAAUUCAAGUCACUUGUGAAAUCUCCGGGCUUAACUCGGAACGGUCAAGUGAUACUGCUUUGCUAGAGUGCGGAAGGGGCAAUCGGAAUUCUCGGUGUAGCGGUGAAAUGCGUAGAUAUCGAGAGGAACACCUGAGGUGAAGACGGGUUGCUGGGCCGACACUGACGCUGACAGCGCGAAAGCCAGGGGAGCAAACGGG